UUCAGGUGUCUCAAGCUCAAUUUACCUGAGGACCGUUGUUGGUAAUGUUGGGGUAAUGCUGUGUCGCAUAAAGUAUUCACUUCACAAUUACACAUGUGACAAAAUGUGUCAAUGACUUCUGUCAGUGCAUGUGUGCGUGCGUGACUCUGAGGCAGAGUUUAACAGAACAUACAUAUUUUCAAAAUGCCUAUUUAUUAAAAAUUACUAAUUGUAAUGAAUUUAAAAAAAAUACUUCGUCCUGAGGAAUUUGUUCGGUGUUCAGGCUUGUCACUCAGCGCUGUCUUGUAUGCACGUACAGGCAGGGAGCGCGUGCACACACACAAAAGCAGUCCAAGAGAAGCAACUAACAAUUUGCAGUCAUGUUGUUGUUAUGAUAGAAUACACAAACAAUGAUAGCUUGGCUCUCUAAAUCGUUGUCAUUAGCCAACAUCACACCAAGUUAAUGCAUGUUACGUACAGUCCUGGUCAAAAGUUUACAUACACUUGUAAAGAACAUAAUGUCAUGGCUGUCUUGAGUUUCCAGUAAUUUCUACAACUCUUAUUUUUUUGUGAUCGAGUGAUUGGAGCACAUACUUGUUGGUCCCAAAAAUAACAUUCAUGAAGUUUGGUUCUUUUAUGAAUUUAUUAUGGGUCUACUGAAAAUGUGACCAAAUCUGCUGGGUCAAAAGUAUAAAUACAGCAAUGUUAAUAUUUGGUUACAUGUCCCUUGGCAAGUUUCACUGCAAUAAGGCGCUUUUGGUAGCCAUCCACAAGCUUCUGCUUGAAUUUUUGACCACUCCUCUUGACAAAACUGGUGCAGUUCAGCUAAAUGUGUUGGUUUUCUAACAUGGACUUGUUUCUUCAGCAUUGUCCACAUGUUUAAGUCAGGACUUUGGAAGGCCAUUCUAAAACCUUAAUUCUAGCCUGAUUUAGCCAUUCCUUUACCACUCUUGAGGUGUGUUUGGGGUCAUUGUCCUGUUGGAACACCCAACUGCGCCCAAGACCCAACCUCCGGGCUGAUGUUUUUAGGUUGUCCUGAAGAAUUUGGAGGUAAUCCUCAAUCAAUCAAUCAAUCAAUCAAUCAAUCAAUCAAUGUUUACUUAUAUAGCCCUAAAUCACGAGUGUCUCAAAGGGCUGCACACGCCACAACGACAUCCUCGGCUCAGAUCCCACAUCAGGGCAAGGAAAAACAAUGAGAAACCUUGGAGGGGACCGCAGAUGUGGGGACCGGUGCAAUGGACGUUGAGUGGAUCUAGCAUAAUAUUCACCAGUUCCAUUGGCAGCAAAACAGGCCCAAGGCCCAGAGCAUAAUACUACCACCACCAUGCUUGACGGUCGGCAUAGUGUUCCUGGGAUUGAAGGCCUCACCUUUGCUCCUCCAAACAUAUUGCUGGGUAUUGUGGCCAAACAGCAACAUUUUUGUUUCAUCUGACAUCACAUGGACAAAGAUAAGACCUUCUGGAGGAAAGUUCUGUGGUCAGAUACAAUCCUGUCAAUACGUCCUGAAAACCUGAGUUCCCUCCGACGUGGCCGACUUCCAGAUCGGUCGUAACAUCACGUGAAAAUGCAGGCGGCCAUGUUUGAGGGAUGGCGGUCCUCGCAUCACAUGCCAAUACAGCCCUGUAUCUGCCCCCCUCGCACCCCCUCCACCAGUGUCCGCGAGCUUGUUUACGGAGCGGAAGAAGUCUGUUUCCUGCCUGUAACAAAACCCAGACACCCCGUCAGAGUGUCAAGGAGCUACUCGGUACCCGCCAAUACAUCAUCUUCCUCGGGAGAAUCGUAGCGAGAUAAGCCGCCCUGACUUAGGACUCCGGCCCACAAAGAGGUCAUCAUGGCUGCCACUGCUAUGAACAAGAUAGCCUCCAUAUUUAUUUAGCACUGACACUUUCAGGAGUGAAUUUCAAUAAUCCCCUCAAUUCACUUUAGGAGUUUGGUGGCUUGCCAGGCGUUGCUGAACAGGUUUCGACGAGUUCCCUCCUCAUCUUCGUAUGUUGGACGGACAAACCUGUUGAAGCAGUGUUUCAGUGCGCAGUGGCAGGUGUACACUCAGGUUAGUAGUUGCAGAGCUGUCUCCAACAUGACUCUAAAGACCGUAAGUAAUCAUGUUUGGUCUGCAUGGGCACUUCUUCUUGUGUAAAAUCAAUGUCUUCUCACACAGCCUAAAUAAGCAAUCACCACCGCACUGUGUUAUUAUUAAGUGUUUACAGGUGUAAUGUCAAUCACCUGCUUAGAGAUGAUACAUUCUUACAGGGGUUAGAUAAGUAAGCAUUUUUCCACUUCAUUAAUUUUGCGGGUAGUUCAAUGUAAACAUUUCCGAAUUUUUCUCCAGCAUGUUGCAAAAUUUAGGAAAACAGUGCUUUUAGGAGCCUCUGAGGUCCAACAAAAUCAGGUUGACAUUUUCACAUAUUAUGUCAAUCUGUUCCAGGGUACAUUUUGGGGCGUGAAGUGUUUGGGUACCUAACAAUUUGAUCCAAUUCGGAUUCCUGGGGUGACACUUUGAUUCUUAAUUGAUUCUUGAUUCAAGAACAAUAAUUUUGAUGAAACUUUUUAAAUUGUACAGGUUAGAAAAGCUCAUUCUUGUUGCAUGGA
Long non-coding RNA from Nerophis lumbriciformis (worm pipefish), 2568 nucleotides. RefSeq lists it as uncharacterized. NCBI's taxonomy places the organism in Eukaryota, Metazoa, Chordata, Actinopteri, Syngnathiformes, Syngnathidae. The record is from RefSeq and is a predicted model, not a curated record.